Long non-coding RNA from Amblyraja radiata (thorny skate), 599 nucleotides. RefSeq lists it as uncharacterized. NCBI's taxonomy places the organism in Eukaryota, Metazoa, Chordata, Chondrichthyes, Rajiformes, Rajidae. The transcript has 2 exons. The record is from RefSeq and is a predicted model, not a curated record.
GUUUGAUUUUAAGCCACGCCGGGCGCCGAAAAGCCCCCCAGGAUUUCCGCCCAUGCCUGCAACCAUAGGAGUUCUAAUACGGUCGCUGCACUUCCUCUCUCACUUCCAUUCAGGGACAUAAACAGCCCUUCCAGAUUUCCCUAAAAAUAUGCCUCAAAAAUAGUAGAAGGUUAUACAUACUUCAUGCAAGGAAUGACAGAUGCAAGGUGUGCAAAUUUGAUGGAUUAGAAGAAUCAGGAAGAGCUCAUCAGGAGCAAAACUCAGAAGUUUCAGAGCCACAAUGAUGCAACCAUGAGUAAAGUGUACCUGACCACCUUCUAGCAUUGGGAAUGUUUCAAGAUGAUAUUAAAGUGAAAGGAGAAAACACAAGAGCCUCAUUCUUAAAAAUAAGAUGCAUGAAAAUUCUUACAGAACUUGUUCUUGCUAAACUUGUUGUUUUGCCAAACGUGAACUUCUCUAGACACAAGAAUACAUGUUAAAACAUUCCACAGUGACACUGAACAUGUGGACCAUUUAAUAAAUUACUUUGCACGGUAUUGAUCUCAUAUGAAAUACAAAUGAUGUUGAAGUUUGCAAUUAAAACUUUAAAUUGGCCUAAA